Molecule: ribosomal RNA, 990 nt
Filed under: uncultured bacterium
Lineage: Bacteria
Description: bacterial SSU rRNA
Rfam family: Bacterial small subunit ribosomal RNA
Source: RNAcentral
GAUGAACGCUGGCGGCGUGCCUAAUACAUGCAAGUCGAGCGAACUUUUGGGAGCUUGCUCCCAAAAGUUAGCGGCGGACGGGUGAGUAACACGUGGGUAACCUGCCUGUAAGACUGGGAUAACUUCGGGAAACCGGAGCUAAUACCGGAUAACAUCGAAGACCACAUGGUCUUCAAUUAAAAGGUGGCUUUUAGCUACCACUUACAGAUGGACCCGCGGCGCAUUAGCUAGUUGGUGAGGUAACGGCUCACCAAGGCGACGAUGCGUAGCCGACCUGAGAGGGUGAUCGGCCACACUGGGACUGAGACACGGCCCAGACUCCUACGGGAGGCAGCAGUAGGGAAUCUUCCGCAAUGGACGAAAGUCUGACGGAGCAACGCCGCGUGAGCGAAGAAGGCCUUCGGGUCGUAAAGCUCUGUUGUUAGGGAAGAACAAGUAUCGUUCGAAUAGGGCGGUACCUUGACGGUACCUAACCAGAAAGCCACGGCUAACUACGUGCCAGCAGCCGCGGUAAUACGUAGGUGGCAAGCGUUAUCCGGAAUUAUUGGGCGUAAAGCGCGCGCAGGCGGUCCUUUAAGUCUGAUGUGAAAGCCCACGGCUCAACCGUGGAGGGUCAUUGGAAACUGGGGGACUUGAGUGCAGAAGAGGAGAGCGGAAUUCCACGUGUAGCGGUGAAAUGCGUAGAGAUGUGGAGGAACACCAGUGGCGAAGGCGGCUCUCUGGUCUGUAACUGACGCUGAGGCGCGAAAGCGUGGGGAGCGAACAGGAUUAGAUACCCUGGUAGUCCACGCCGUAAACGAUGAGUGCUAAGUGUUAGAGGGUUUCCGCCCUUUAGUGCUGCAGCAAACGCAUUAAGCACUCCGCCUGGGGAGUACGGUCGCAAGACUGAAACUCAAAGGAAUUGACGGGGGCCCGCACAAGCGGUGGGGCAUGUGGUUUAAUUCGAAGCAACGCGAAGAACCUUACCAGGUCUUGACAUCCUUAUGCCAU